This 349-nucleotide long non-coding RNA is filed under the name Olea europaea subsp. europaea. The record is from RNAcentral. Lineage: Eukaryota; Viridiplantae; Streptophyta; Magnoliopsida; Lamiales; Oleaceae.
AUUGAACUGAACCAUUGGGAAUUAGAAUUUGUAAAAGUUAAAUUGAGAUUGGAUGGAAAAUAUAUAGUUUCAAUUUUUAAACAUAAUUUAUGCCACCAAAUGCAAAAGCUAUUAAUGAGGCCGAUAUGCAUGUGCUGAAUAAAAAAAAUUAUGAAAUAUUUACGAUUAAUUACAAUUUCCUCAGAAUAAAUAAUACAGAUAUAAAUUGACGGGUUAUAUAUCAAAUUCAUUAUAUAUUGUUUGAAUUUUAAUUAUAUAAAUUUAUUUAUUUUGUUCGAAAGUAUUGGAAUGAUUAUUAUAUAAUUUUGUUCUUGUAUGUCGACAUAGAAUUUUUUUUUAUUCAUUCCUG